GAUGAAGAACGUAGCGAAAUGCGAUAAAUAAUGUGAAUUGCAGAAUUCAGUGAAUCAUCGAGUCUUUGAACGCACAUUGCGCCCCCUGGUAUUCCGGGGGGCAUGCCUGUCCGAGCGUCAUCGCUGCCCUCAAGCACGGCUUGUGUGUUGGGCCCCCGUCCCCCCCUCCCGGGGGACGGGCCCGAAAGGCAGCGGCGGCACCGCGUCCGGUCCUCGAGCGUAUGGGGCUUUGUCACCCGCUCUGUAGGCCCGGCCGGCGCCUGCCGACCACCAUCAAUCUUUUUUCAGGUUGACCUCGGAUCAGGUAGGGAUACCCGCUGAACUUAAGCAUAUCAAUAAGCGGAGGA
Molecule: unclassified non-coding RNA, 347 nt
Filed under: soil metagenome
Description: partial contains 5.8S ribosomal RNA, internal transcribed spacer 2, and large subunit ribosomal RNA
Rfam family: 5.8S ribosomal RNA (bases 1-120)
Source: RNAcentral